Molecule: long non-coding RNA, 449 nt
Organism: Lolium rigidum
Lineage: Eukaryota; Viridiplantae; Streptophyta; Magnoliopsida; Poales; Poaceae
Exons: 3
Source: RefSeq, a predicted model, not a curated record
ACAGGCGAGACAAGAUGGCUUAAUGCCCUCCAACAACUAAUGCGGAACAUGCCUUGGAUUUGGAAACGACAAGGUUUUGUUUCCUGGUGGAGUGCACUCAAUUAUCAGAUCUGGAUAUCAUAGAGGUUUAUUGUUCGAUCCAUGGAUACAGUCCAACAUCCAUGAUUGGAAGAGAAUGGAGAUUUCCAUAUGUUGUAUAAAAUCGCAGAUAUUCCAUUCUUGGAACCUUACAAGACCGGCAUUAUGGUAGUAGUAAUAUUGGAGUAACACACCAAACCGACUACCAAGUGCCAACUUCCACUUCUGUGGGUAUCUCUGGUGUAUUUGUUUCCUGUGAGAUCACCAUGUCAAAAUAUUUAUGUUUGGUCUUUUCUCGGAUUAAGUUUUGCGUGACCCGACCUAUAAAAGAAAAGUAAGUCAACUAUGAUGUACCUGUGUACAUAGGCUGA